CCUCUGCGCUGUGAGGCCGACGCGCUAACCAGUUGACCACCGGGCGUCGUGGGUGAGACACUAAUACCCGAAUACUGUUUUGGACAAAAUGCCAGCAAAAGGAUCCAGAUGAAGUGGUUGCCGCAAUUGGAGUGUGAUUGACGGACAGCGGUCACUACAGUGGACAGCUCAUCAUGUUAUCAGACAUAUUGUACCAUCGGGAGGUCUGUUGGACGUGGCCACCACCACCACUCCGGUCUUAAACAACGUCUGGAAAAGCUGCCUCAGGAUCACUGCAUCGGCGAUGUCCGUCACCUGAUGAUAAAAGGUCAUCAAAGGUCAAGAAGAUCACAUAUUGAUUGACGUCGGUCCGAGCAAGUCAUCGACACUCCACGUUGAUUAGUGUCAUUCAGGAGGCAGGUUUCACGGGAGAUCUCCACGGCAACCGGUGAGAUGGGGUCAUAGGUGAACAUGUUGCCCAGCUUUCGUCUC
This is a long non-coding RNA of Hippocampus comes (tiger tail seahorse), 471 nucleotides long. RefSeq lists it as uncharacterized. The record is from RefSeq and is a predicted model, not a curated record. NCBI's taxonomy places the organism in Eukaryota, Metazoa, Chordata, Actinopteri, Syngnathiformes, Syngnathidae. The transcript has 4 exons.